RNAcentral lists this ribosomal RNA (506 nucleotides) under Sylvirana guentheri. RNAcentral's name for it is "partial 12S ribosomal RNA". It matches the Rfam family "Bacterial small subunit ribosomal RNA", at positions 794 to 1533 of the family's 1533-position model. Lineage: Eukaryota; Metazoa; Chordata; Amphibia; Anura; Ranidae. The record is from RNAcentral.
GCCCAGCCGUAAACAAUUAACUCACAACAACCAGCGCCUGGAAAUUACGAGCAAUGCUUAAAACCCAAAGGACUUGACGGUGUUCCACCCAACUAGAGGAGCCUGUUCUAUAAUCGAUGAUCCCCGCUAUACCUAACCAUUUCUAGCUAUUCAGUCUGUAUACCUCCGUCGAAAGCUUACCAUGUGAACGAACUUUAGUAGGCCCAAGGACCCCAUCAACACGUCAGGUCAAGGUGCAGCUUACGAGAUGGAAAGUAAUGGGCUACAAUUUCUAAUCUAGAACAAACGAAAUACUGUGUGAAACCACAGUCACGAAGGCGGAUUUAGUAGUAAAAAGAAAAUAGAGAGUUCUUUUUAACCCGGCUCUGGGACGUGUACACACCGCCCGUCACCCUCUUCGACUACAUAACAAAGUUCAUAACCCCAUUUUUUACUCUAGAAGAGGCAAGUCGUAACAUGGUAAGUGUACUGGAAAGUGUACUUGGUAUAUUACAAAAUGUACUUAA